Long non-coding RNA from Clupea harengus (Atlantic herring), 1838 nucleotides. RefSeq lists it as uncharacterized. The record is from RefSeq and is a predicted model, not a curated record. NCBI's taxonomy places the organism in Eukaryota, Metazoa, Chordata, Actinopteri, Clupeiformes, Clupeidae.
AUGUUGUAAAACAUAGUUUUAUCCACAGUCAGCCGUUUCUUCAAACCAUAAACUGUGUGUGCCAAAAAAAAUCUACCCGCACACAUCCAGCUCCUGAACAUUAAACUGGUUUGCUGAAUUGUUCUUUAACCAAACCAGCUGUUGAUACACAUGACUUUUUUUUUGUGUCAAUUCACAGACAGACUUUUUAUCAUCAUGUACUUCCUCGAAGCAGUAAAAGCACAAGUCACGUACAUUUUUAGGUGAUUACUGAAACACAGGUCAGGCCAUGGGAAGGUCGUACCUACACCACACCAACAACUGCAACAUCUUUUUCACCCAACACGGAACAUCCCUGCAGUCCUCAGUAGCUCAGCCCCCGGUGGUCCCAUCCUCGGGGUCACACUGCAUCACGAUGCAGCUGAACAGGUGGUGCAUGGCUGAGGCCACAUGCAUACAUCAAACAAGUGUUUCAUGGACACAGCCCAGGCUGCUUCUGGUGCAUUUGAAUGUGAGAUGUACACAUAUUAACAUAUGUAAAUCUGAACGGUGUGAGCUUAAGAGAGGGAGACCAAAUGUAUGUUUUCUUUCUUUCUUUCAUGUUCUCUCUGGUAGUAAAUGGUGAUCUCAUGUCUUGAGUUGGAUUUCUGUGUAGGUCUGUGUUAAUACAGGAUGUUGUACUGAGGGGCAGGGCUUUGGGCCUGUUAAAUAUUGACGUGACGUGUAAUAAUUAACCAAGCUCUAACUCCCGAUCUCUCUUAAAUGGAGUUCUCUGGCUCUGACAUUGCAGUGCUGCCAGCCGCGCCUUACCCUGCACCUUAACUUUCAGCGUAACUCUCUUCUCUUCUCUUCUCUUCUCUUCUCUCCUCUUCUCUUCUCUUUUCUUCUCUUUUCUUUUCUUUUCUUUUCUUUUCUUCUCUUCUCUUUUCUUCUCUUCUCUUUUCUUCUCUUUUCUUCUCUUCUCUUUCCCUCACUCUCUCUCGUUCUCUCUCGCUCUCUCUUUCAUUCUCAGCCUUUGUCCAGUUAUGCCACCCCAACCCAACCCAACACCACAGCUCCAGAGUGGUCGGCGUCUGCUGGAAGAUAGCCGGCUUGGCUUCAGACAUUUCCAGCAAAAGGAGACAUCCAGUUUAUAGCCCACUGUAAACCAGUGUGUAUGUGAGUAAGCAGAUGAACACUGCAAUCACAGCACUGACCCUGCAUUUGAGUAGAGGUAUGAGUGCCGGUGCACUUCCCCUCCUGCCCUACUGGUAUGCUGUGUCACUAUGCCGGCUGGGAGAAAAACCUGGUACUUGCUGGUUGUAACAGCAACUCCAUGUGGAAGCUGCCAUUGUUCCAGUGGAGAUGCUGUUACCUGUGGCGAGUUCACCUAUUGGCUACUCAGAUGGCCCAAUGAGGAAUCACCUUGAACUGUUACAUGAAAACCAUUUUUCCAUUCAGUAGAGCACUUAAUGUUUGCAUCAGAAAUACUGUCAGAUUAGUUUGCAUAACAAUUCAAAUGACAUUUUUCAGAGCAACGGCAGAGUUAUAACAAAGAGAAUGGGCCACAGGGUGAUGACCUAUGAAUUGACAGCCAGUGUUUGCUGACUGCCUGUCAGUUCUGUAGGCCACUGUCCUGUUUGCCUUGCUGAACACAUACACACACGCGCGCAGAUUUGAGGAAAGUGAAGUGAUCAAGACGGCUGAUAGAUAGUUUGUAGUUUGACCAAGUUCAAGUAUAUAACAUGUCAAGGAGUUAAUCAUUUUAUUAUGUUUUUUAAUGUAAUAAUGAUAUUUAGUGUUUAUGGAGCAAUUGUCUGAAUUACCUCUCUUUUUAUGUCUUAAAUAAACAGACAUGCAAUAACAAAUGCAUUGAAAAA